RNAcentral lists this microRNA precursor (59 nucleotides) under Caenorhabditis brenneri. RNAcentral's name for it is "microRNA cbn-mir-7627 precursor". The record is from miRBase by way of RNAcentral. Lineage: Eukaryota; Metazoa; Nematoda; Chromadorea; Rhabditida; Rhabditidae.
AGGGAUUACUUCCAAGUAUAGUAAUCACUUGUACUACUAUACUUGUUAGUCGUUCCAUG